GCAAGUCGAGCGGGGUUAUUUGAGAAAGCUUGCUUUUUUAAAUGACCUAGCGGCAGACGGGUGAGUAACACGUAAGUAUCUACCCUUGAGAGGGGAAUAACCUACCGAAAGGUAAGCUAAUACCCCAUAUUAUCAGUUGAUGUUUUUGUCAGUUGAUGAAAGGAGUAAUCCGCUCAGGGAGGAGCUUGCGGUCUAUCAGCUUGUUGGUAGGGUAAUGGCCUACCAAGGCUACGACGGAUAGCCGGCCUGAAAGGGUGAUC
This 260-nucleotide ribosomal RNA is filed under the name uncultured bacterium. Its description in RNAcentral is "partial 16S ribosomal RNA". It matches the Rfam family "Bacterial small subunit ribosomal RNA", at positions 57 to 305 of the family's 1533-position model. The record is from RNAcentral.